CCUACGGGAGGCAGCAGUAGGGAAUAUUGGACAAUGGGCGCAAGCCUGAUCCAGCCAUGCCGCGUGAGUGAAGAAGGCCCUCGGGUUGUAAAGCUCUUUUGUUGGGGAAGAAAAGCAUCUGGUUAAUACCCGGGUGUUCUGACGGUACCCAAAGAAUAAGCACCGGCUAACUUCGUGCCAGCAGCCGCGGUAAUACGAAGGGUGCAAGCGUUACUCGGAAUUACUGGGCGUAAAGCGUGCGUAGGUGGUUUGUUAAGUCUGAUGUGAAAGCCCUGGGCUCAACCUGGGAAUGGCAUUGGAUACUGGCAGGCUAGAGUGCGGUAGAGGGUAGUGGAAUUCCCGGUGUAGCAGUGAAAUGCGUAGAGAUCGGGAGGAACAUCCGUGGCGAAGGCGACUACCUGGGCCAGCACUGACACUGAGGCACGAAAGCGUGGGGAGCAAACAGGAUUAGAUACCCUGGUAGUCCACGCCCUAAACGAUGCGAACUGGAUGUUGGGCUCAACUUGGAGCUCAGUAUCGAAGCUAACGCGUUAAGUUCGCCGCCUGGGGAGUACGGUCGCAAGACUGAAACUCAAAGGAAUUGACGG
RNAcentral lists this ribosomal RNA (587 nucleotides) under uncultured bacterium. RNAcentral describes it as "bacterial SSU rRNA". It matches the Rfam family "Bacterial small subunit ribosomal RNA", at positions 338 to 916 of the family's 1533-position model. The record is from RNAcentral.